RNAcentral lists this long non-coding RNA (1021 nucleotides) under Salmo trutta (river trout). RNAcentral's name for it is "lncRNA (ENSSTUG00000024832.1)". The record is from RNAcentral. Lineage: Eukaryota; Metazoa; Chordata; Actinopteri; Salmoniformes; Salmonidae.
CUGACCUUAAUGCUACUGAGGAAUUCCCUGCCAGGGGCCUUAGCCCGGCUGAUGUAAAGGCUGACGGCAUGGCCCGCCUUCCCUCUGCCAGUGGGGAAGAGACUAAGAAGAACAGGAAGUGGCGCUUCCUACCCAAAAUUGGCAAGAUUCCAAAGAUCAGGAUGAAGGUAGGGGGCUCUGUGUUUUGAGAUUACCUCUGUAAGGCAGGUUCUGAAAUGUACCCUACAGAUUCACUAAACCCCUAUUGUCUCAGCAUUAGAACAAUGCUGUUGUCAUUGUCUUUAGGAGGUUGAGUGAGGCCGCUGUAAUACAAUCCUAAUACACAUGGGAGAGAGUCAAUGUCUGUGUACCCUAUUCCUUAUAUGGUGCACUACUUUUGACCAGAGCACUAUAGUGCCUUACGUAGCCAGUAGGGCGCAUUUUGGGAUAGAUACCAUAUAUUUUACACAGGCUCAGUUGUCCUGAUGUGUUUUGUCAACAGCUGUUCAAGACAAAAGGGGAACCGAAGAGCCACCCUGAACAGGAUGCGCUGCCUACCAAACGUCUCAGAGAGACUCGUAUUUCACAGAAUGCUGAGUGUGAGGUUCCAGAGGUUCCAUCCACUUCCCCACCCAAGGAGGACCUGACAAGCACACUGGCCCCUGCUCCCCAGGAGUCCCAGUCCCGUAAACGCCCUCUCAUAGUCAGGGUUGUUGCAUCCCCACACCUACCAGUAAAGCACCACAGGACAAUGAGAAGCGGACACCGUUGCAUGCCGCUACCUAUCUAGGAGAUACAGAAAUUCUAGAGCUACUCAUACUAUCAGGUAAGGUUAUCAUUGAAGAGAAGGAUUACGCAAUGAUUCAUGUCCAUCGGACUUUGACUUCUGUUUUGAUGCUUGUUGUGUUUGCAUGUGACCGUUUCCCUCAUACUUACCACCAUUAAGAUCUUAUGUGCAGCCGAUGUAUUUAAAAAUGUAAAAAAAACAUUCUAAUGAAGGCCAUUGACAGCUGAAACGUCCCGAUUUUAACUUGAUUAGUGA